UCUAGAUGAUCAAGGACAUAGAUAUACUGGCAUUGCAAGCACCUCGCAGACAAAGCCAGAACAAAGUGAGCAUUGCGAGACUAUCUUGCUGGGCUAGCUACAUACAUUCACAAAAAUGACCUUUGUAUCUACAGAGGUGUUUUCAGGGGGAAUAUGGGAUUUUCAGAGAGGAUCAUGGAUAUGGAGGAAGCUGUCAUGUUAAGUAUUCAUCCAAAACUCUCAGGGAGAAGAAAUGUGUAAUUAUCAUGUAACAUAUGUAAGUAUCAUGAUAAUUGUCAGAGAAAAAGGCAACAAAUCUCUAAAAUAUCAGUGUAUGUUUGGACCAUGAACUUUCAUCCUAAAGACUGAAGGAUUUACUGUAGAUUGUGGAAUAUUUUCACAAAAGACUCAGCUGUGAAACACUGCUGACCCCUCAUGGUCAGUUCAAAGUUCAACACCAUGUCUAUGACGACUAAUCCAAAGGAAGAUGGCCUGACUGACACACCAGCAACGCCACAUACAUUUACAUAUUAGUAAUUUAGUAGACGCGCUUAUCCAGAGCGUUUUACAGGAGCAAUUAGGAUGAACUGUCUUGCUCAAGGGCACAACGGAUCGGUGAUACUCCAACACUAUUAACCGUUAUGCUACACGCCACUACCUAGAGAUAAUGGCUUUAUGUUCGGUGGCAUUCAAUGACAUCCUGAAGCUCAUUGCAUCCUAGAAAAGAUUAAACACUUUCUCUUAAAUGGAAAUAGCAGAUUUGACCCUAUCAUUAAAAGAUAAGAAUCAAUUAUUGGAGGAUGAAUCCGAAUCAGAUUGAGCAUGUGAUUGAGGAAACAAGAGCAAAUUAUGAAUCUAAAAAACAAUCAAUAGGAGAAUGACAAGAACAAUGCACCCUCUAAAUUCACCACGACCAUUUCAUGGCUUAUUUUCCACACGAAGGCACUUCUGGUGCACCACGCAAUUAAUCUUGUGACAAAUGUUCCAUACACAUUAUUACUGAAAUAUUUAACAGGAGAAUUCAUCUUUCCACAUAUUAUCCUCCAGUACGUGCUAAUUGAAUGUGGGUAGAGGUCAGCCCAACCCUCAAACCCACUUCAUUAUCACAACACUUCUCAUGCUCUACUGGGACAAACAAAAAAAGGGAAAGUACAAAAUACGUCAUUUGACAAAGGACUCACAUCUCCGGGAAACAGAUUUUUAUUGUAUAAAGAGUUGUAGUCCUACAUUUCUUUCACAUAGAGGUAGCUGCAGUAGGGUCAAAACAAAGCAGUAACAGCCCAUUCAGGAGUCUCGCUCAGUUAGCCCAAAUGGACACAAUGUCCAUCUGCCUAUAGUCCACUGUUUAUAAGACAUCUAUAGAAAGUCUGACCCUGUGCAUCUUCUAGCUGUCUCAGCAGACUCUCCUUUCUUACCAGGGCAUUGAGGCUGACACAGCGAGACAUCAGGCCGGCAGAGGACAUUGUGUAUGUAGGUCACCCAGCGACCUGUGUCGUAUCGUGUGACAGCCACAGCGGUCAUUGUCCCUGUGCUGUAGUGCCGGCCGCCCAGCGGGAGGUGGGAUAGGGAUUAGAGUGGACAGACCACGGUGGGGCUGAGCACAGAGGCCCCCAACACGUCAGCAUGAACUUUCUCAUUUCCUCCCUUAACGACUUUGACAUUAUCAGGCCAGGCAGUGCAAUGUCCAGCCGCAUUACUCUCACCGGGCUUACAUUAUUCAGAAUGGCCGGAAUGGUGAAGGGAUACUGUAAGAGGCAGUACUAGGGUUCAGAUGACUGGAGAAACAACAUGGUGAAGGGAUAGGAGGCAGUACUAGGGUUCAGAUGACAACAUGGUGAAGGGAUAGGAGGCAGUACUAGGGUUCAGAUGACUGGAGAGACAACAUGGUGAAGGGAUAGGAGGUAGUACUAGGGUUCAGAUGACUGGAGAGACAACAUGGUGAAGGGAUAGGAGGCAGUACUAGGGUUCAGAUGACUGGAGAAACAACAUGGUGAAGGGAUAGGAGGCAGUACUAGGGUUCAGAUGACUGGAGAAACAACAUGGUGAAGGGAUAGGAGGCAGAACUAGGGUUCAGAUGACAACAUGGUGAAGGGAUAGGAGGCAGUACUAGGGUUCAGAUGACUGGAGAGACAACAUGGUGAAGGGAUAGGAGGCAGUACUAGGGUUCAGAUGACUGGAGAGACAACAUGGUGAAGGGAUAGGAGGCAGUACUAGGGUUCAGAUGACUGGAGAAACAACAUGGUGAAGGGAUAGGAGGCAGUACUAGGGUUCAGAUGACUGGAGAAACAACAUGGUGAAGGGAUAGGAGGCAGUACUAGGGUUCAGAUGACAACAUGGUGAAGGGAUAGGAGGCAGUACUAGGGUUCAGAUGACAACAUGGUGAAGGGAUAGGAGGCAGUACUAGGGUUCAGAUGACUGGAGAGACAACAUGGUGAAGGGAUAGGAGGCAGUACUAGGGUUCAGAUGACUGGAGAAACAACAUGGUGAAGGGAUAGGAGGCAGUACUAGGGUUCAGAUGACUGGAGAAACAACAUGGUGAAGGGAUAGGAGGCAGAACUAGGGUUCAGAUGACAACAUGGUGAAGGGAUAGGAGGCAGUACUAGGGUUCAGAUGACAACAUGAUGAAGGGAUAGGAGGCAGUACUAGGGUUCAGAUGACUGGAGAGACAACAUGGUGAAGGGAUAGGAGGCAGAACUAGGGUUCAGAUGACUGGAGAGACGACAUGGUGAAGGGAUAGGAGGCAGUACUAGGGUUCAGAUGACUGGAGAGACGACAUGGUGAAGGGAUAGGAGGCAGUACUAGGGUUCAGAUGACUGGAGAGACAACAUGGUGAAGGGAUAGGAGGCAGUACUAGGGUUCAGAUGACAACAUGGUGAAGGGAUAGGAGGCAGUACUAGGGUUCAGAUGACAACAUGGUGAAGGGAUAGGAGGCAGUACUAGGGUUCAGAUGACUGGAGAAACAAUAUGA
This is a long non-coding RNA of Oncorhynchus keta (chum salmon), 2947 nucleotides long. RefSeq lists it as uncharacterized. The record is from RefSeq and is a predicted model, not a curated record. Lineage: Eukaryota; Metazoa; Chordata; Actinopteri; Salmoniformes; Salmonidae. The transcript is spliced from 4 exons.